Molecule: ribosomal RNA, 292 nt
Filed under: uncultured eukaryote
Lineage: Eukaryota
Description: partial 18S ribosomal RNA
Rfam family: Eukaryotic small subunit ribosomal RNA
Source: RNAcentral
GGUUGAUCCUGCCAGUAGUCAUAUGCUUGUCUCAAAGAUUAAGCCAUGCAUGUCUAAGUAUAAAUAACUACACAGUAAAACUGCGAAUGGCUCAUUAAAACAGUUAUAGUUUAUUUGAUACAUUAAAUGGAUAACUGUAGAAAAACUAGAGCUAAUACAUGCCAAGACCGCAAGGUUGUAUUUAUUAGAUAUACCAAGUGGGUGAAUCAUAAUAACUUUUCAAAUCGCGGCCUCGCCGCGAUAAAUCAUUCAAGUUUCUGCCCUAUCAUGCUUUCGAUGGUAGUGUAUUGGA